RNAcentral lists this ribosomal RNA (253 nucleotides) under uncultured bacterium. RNAcentral's name for it is "partial 16S ribosomal RNA". It matches the Rfam family "Bacterial small subunit ribosomal RNA", at positions 524 to 776 of the family's 1533-position model. The record is from RNAcentral.
UACGUAGGUGGCAAGCGUUGUCCGGAUUUACUGGGCGUAAAGGGCGCGUAGGCGGUCUUGUCAGUCCCUUGUGAAAUCCCCCGGCUCAACUGGGGAACUGCACGGGAAACAGCAGGGCUUGAGUAUGGGAGAGGUAAGCGGAAUUCCUGGUGUAGCGGUGAAAUGCGUAGAUAUCAGGAGGAACACCUGUGGUGUAGACAGCUUACUGGACCAUAACUGACGCUGAGGCACGAAAGCGUGGGUAGCAAACAGG